CCAGUAAUUUGUUACGAAUGUAUAUUUGUUAAUGAAAGUUUUGUGUUUUUUAUUGAAAUUUUGGAUUUUUAUUUGCAAUUUUUUAUAUUCUAACAGACGAUCAUUAAAUAUGAAAGAUAAACAAGUAGAAAAGAGUAUAGUAAUACAUAAUACUCUCCUCAUAUGUAAUACUCUCCUUAAACGUAAAUCAAAAACCGGAUAUGAUGAUUAAAUGUUGUAUCGGCAUGGUUUUAUCUGUCUACUUUGCUUUUUCAAUUUGGUUGCCAGCUUCAACCCAAUUCUUGAUUUAGAACUAUGAUUUUGAACUAAAACAUUUCCGAGUUGAAUAAAAUACUAUUUAUUCUUAACUGUAUUUUUUUUGAGGCUUCAGUUAUCAAAUGUUGGUGGUAAUUUUAGUUAUGCCACUGUGAAAGCGUUGAUUGUUAAGAAGACAUAAAAAGUUUAAAGUAUGCACAAAGCCUGAAAGUGUCAAAUAUGGAACCUAAAAAAACCUGCCUUUGCCACUAACUGUAUAAAGGUUUUUUAAGGUCUGUUUGUCAAGCGUCAAGUCAGGUUAUCUUGCUACUGGUACCAUAUAGUACAUCCUGCUUAAGCAGGUUGUACGCCAUCCAUACGACGUUUGGGCAUCUGUUUGUAAAAUAUUGCUGCAAAUCUUUUUGAGAGAGCCAUUACUAUGGAGAACCAUCUAAACCAUACAAGUGUGGAAAUAUGGAUAUUAAUGUGAAAUAAACUGAUGAGUUUAUUUAACUUAGCUGGUAAAAAAAAAAAGUUUUUGUGAAACAAAUUUAAUGAAGACAAUUAUAGGUAUACCUGUUAAUGUAAUAUAUUUUGUAUUGUAUUUUGUAUGCUUAGUUUUGACGAAUUUUUAAAUACUGCAAACUCACACUCGCACAAAAAUCAACUGUGAACUCUUAUUUAAUCAGUUUCAAAAGUUGACUUUGAAAAUUUUGUAUAAGAUAUUAUAGCUUAUUUAUUAGACUGUGUUUUUAGAAUGAAGUUCAUUCAUUUGCUGGCAACAUUUUUAAACGUGGUCCAGAUCGAAAUAAUUUGGUGCUAGAAAUUGUCGAUAGUGGAAGUGAUAGAUGCAUCGAACCUAAUUUGUAAUUAAUUUCAGUAAAUAAAUUUCACUUUACUAA
Molecule: non-coding RNA, 1136 nt
Organism: Hydra vulgaris (swiftwater hydra)
Lineage: Eukaryota; Metazoa; Cnidaria; Hydrozoa; Anthoathecata; Hydridae
Source: RefSeq, a predicted model, not a curated record